Molecule: long non-coding RNA, 360 nt
Organism: Liolophura sinensis
Lineage: Eukaryota; Metazoa; Mollusca; Polyplacophora; Chitonida; Chitonidae
Exons: 3
Source: RefSeq, a predicted model, not a curated record
AGAUGUAGACGAAUGUAAUAGCGAUAACUCCUGUUCUGCUAAUGCUGACUGUGACAAUACUGUUGGAAGCUACAACUGUACAUGUAAGGUUGGUUACCAUGGGAACGGAAGACAAUGUGAAGAUGCGAACGAGUGUACGGAGCCUGACGCCUGCUCUCCAAAUGCUGUUUGUAUGAACGUACCUGGUAGUUACAGCUGUAAAUGUAACGUCGGAUUUACUGGAGAUGGGAGCAACUGUACAGACGUGGAUGAAUGUGUUGAGAUGGACCUCUGCGGUCUUAAUGCUAACUGUGACAAUGUCCCUGGUUCCUACAACUGCACCUGUCAGACUGGUUUCCUUGGGAACGGCACAAACUGCAC